RNAcentral lists this long non-coding RNA (1708 nucleotides) under Lynx canadensis (Canada lynx). RNAcentral's name for it is "lncRNA (ENSLCNG00005021769.1)". The record is from RNAcentral. Lineage: Eukaryota; Metazoa; Chordata; Mammalia; Carnivora; Felidae.
CUGCCCGCCCGCCUCGCAUCUACCCUUCUCUUCUGACUCCGCCCCACAUCUGUCCGGAACCGCCUCCCGCUGAAGCUGACCCAGUGCGCGUCCGCCAGUCAGUCCCUCCGGACCUGCCGCGAGUCUCAGACUGCCGAAAUUACCGCGCGUCACUCGCCUUUUUCAGCUUUUCAAAACAGUCACUGUGCAAACUUCAAAUGUGCCCAGGAGAAGAAAAUUAAGAACAUUGCUUUGUGAUUGUAAACCAUCAUAUUAAAAGUUAUUCUGGUGAGACUAUUCUGUACAAAAAACUUCUUCAUAUACUGUUGCCUUUCUGGUUGUAUCUAUGAUUAAGGGGACAAACAAAAUGUUACAUGUUAAGUGAUAUUUUCAGUACAGGGGAAAAUGUAAGAAUACUAUGUGUUUAAGGGAAUAUUUAGGAAUGGUGUGAAUGCCAUCCUACCUAUAAAUAAAUGGCUUGAUUUAAGGAAAUAGUUUAAAAUGCAUCAGUAAAUUACUGAAUAUAGAUGAUAUAUGUGUUCCCAGCAUCUACGUUAAUACCUGGAAUAUAGUUAGCAUUCCAUGGUUGCUUGUUGAAUUAUCCCUCAAUUUGUUUGUUUUUCAAUUGUCUCCUCAGUAUUUCACAGGAGAAGUGAGUUAUUACAGAAUAAGCCAUUUUUUAUCAAAUUUCAUCCCAUAAAGAAAUAAUUGAGAGCUGAUUAGUUACAUAGAUUGGUGCUUCUAAUAUGGUGUUACUGGUGACAUAGACUAGUGCUUAUCCUGUUGAGGUGUUAUCAAUACUUUUACACUUCUCAUGAUUUCUUUUUUUAUUAUUGUUCAACAAUUUAUUGAUGAGUUUAUCUUAGACAAAGCUUCUAAUAAUUGACAUAAGUUAAAUGAAAAUAUAUUUGAAGAGAAACAUUUUUUAAAAUAAAUUAAUGGGAUGUUGCUUCAAGACUAAGACAAUUUCCACAAGGCCUUGUUCCUACAUUAAAUCAAGUGAUCACAAGAAUCCCUGAAAAACUAGUGCUUGUGCAUGUGAAAUUGUUUCUUACAUACUUCAUGGUGUUACUUCCCAAGAAAUAUAACCUAACAAAUGCUUUCUUUGAGAUUCAAGAGAGUUAAUAUAACCACUUGGCUUCAAGGGAUCAUGGUCAGUAGUUAGAAAUAAUCUAGCUACCAUUGGAAAUCUGAGAAAGGCCUAACUCAAUGUAUAAAUAUUGAGGAUAUAAUUUAUAUGAAACUUAAAAAAAAAAACUCCAAGUACUUUCACCGUCAAAAGUCAAAUUCAGUUUUAAAACAUCUCCCAUUUGGCACACAAAAAUGACCAGUGUUCUCAUUAAAUCUCUCAACAGAAGUUUGGAGCCUUUGCAUUUUAUUUAAUUAAGAAAAUAUUUAGUUCUUUGGAGAGACUUGCAAGAAAAGAGAUGAGUGAUGAUAUUAUAUGUCAUGACUGUCUCAGUUAUCAGAGUAAAUUAGUUUCUUUGUUUUAAAACUAGUAAGUGAAACACCAGGUGUUGGCAUCUUUUCUAUAAAAAAAUAAGCCUUCUAUAAUGUAGAAUAAAUAAUUUUACGAAUUUUUGAGAUUGAUUUAAAAUUUCUAAAAAGGUAAAUUAUACUUUUGGAAAAUCAAAGACUUUUUAAAACAAUAUUUAGGAGCAUUUGAAAAGUAAUUUUAAGCAAAUUUACACAGGAUUGCAAAUGACUCCUUUUUUUAUUAAAUUAAAAU